GACGAACGCUGGCGGCGUGCUUAACACAUGCAAGUCGAACGGAAAGGCCCUGCUUUUGUGGGGUGCUCGAGUGGCGAGCGGGUGAGUAACACGUGAGUAACCUGCCCUUGACUUUGGGAUAACUUCAGGAAACUGGGGCUAAUACCGGAUAGGAGCUCCUGCUGCAUGGUGGGGGUUGGAAAGUUUCGGCGGUUGGGGAUGGACUCGCGGCUUAUCAGCUUGUUGGUGGGGUAGUGGCUUACCAAGGCUUUGACGGGUAGCCGGCCUGAGAGGGUGACCGGCCACAGUGGGACUGAGAUACGGCCCAGACUCCUACGGGAGGCGGCAGUGGGGAAUAUUGCACAAUGGGCGGAAGCCUGAUGCAGCAACGCCGCGUGCGGGAUGACGGCCUUCGGGUUGUAAACCGCUUUCGCCUGUGACGAAGCGUGAGUGACGGUAAUGGGUAAAGAAGCACCGGCUAACUACGUG
This 468-nucleotide ribosomal RNA is filed under the name uncultured bacterium. RNAcentral describes it as "partial 16S ribosomal RNA". It matches the Rfam family "Bacterial small subunit ribosomal RNA", at positions 28 to 507 of the family's 1533-position model. The record is from RNAcentral.